AGUGAACGCUGGCGGUAGGCCUAACACAUGCAAGUCGAACGGCAGCACAGUAAGAGCUUGCUCUUACGGGUGGCGAGUGGCGGACGGGUGAGGAAUACAUCGGAAUCUACUUUUUCGUGGGGGAUAACGUUGGGAAACUUACGCUAAUACCGCAUACGACCUACGGGUGAAAGCAGGGGAUCUUCGGACCUUGCGCGAUUGAAUGAGCCGAUGUCGGAUUAGCUAGUUGGCGGGGUAAAGGCCCACCAAGGCGACGAUCCGUAGCUGGUCUGAGAGGAUGAUCAGCCACACUGGAACUGAGACACGGUCCAGACUCCUACGGGAGGCAGCAGUGGGGAAUAUUGGACAAUGGGCGCAAGCCUGAUCCAGCCAUACCGCGUGGGUGAAGAAGGCCUUCGGGUUGUAAAGCCCUUUUGUUGGCAAAGAAAAGCAGCAGGUUAAUACCCCGCUGUUCUGACGGUACCCAAAGAAUAAGCACCGGCUAACUUCGUG
RNAcentral lists this ribosomal RNA (492 nucleotides) under uncultured bacterium. Its description in RNAcentral is "partial 16S ribosomal RNA". It matches the Rfam family "Bacterial small subunit ribosomal RNA", at positions 29 to 507 of the family's 1533-position model. The record is from RNAcentral.